UUCUGGUUGCAUUUGUCCGUGCCUGGAUUGCAUGUGAAACAGUGUUCUUCCACUAACAGGACUAUAUAUAAAACUCUUCAUACAAGGUGGUGGUCUCAACUUGCGGAUGCUUUGUUAAAAAUGUACUGGGACUCUUGCUAUGUCUGUACUCAUUUGCAUGAUCUUCUGCUUCUGAGUUGGAGCCUGAGUAGGAUCUGACUCCACCAUUGCUUUGAAUAACUGAGGAAUCAAAGGAAUCUUGUGAUGAUAAAACUUCUU
Molecule: long non-coding RNA, 258 nt
Filed under: Manihot esculenta (cassava)
Lineage: Eukaryota; Viridiplantae; Streptophyta; Magnoliopsida; Malpighiales; Euphorbiaceae
Description: long non-coding RNA (MESC_LNC004173)
Source: RNAcentral